UAUGUGAUCGUCUCUCGCAUAUCAAUAAGCGGAGGAAAAGAAACUAACAAGGAUUCCCUUAGUAACGGCGAGUGAAGCGGGAAGAGCUCAAAUUUGAAAUCUUCAAGGUUUUACCUUGACGAAUUGUAGUUUAAAGAAGUGUUUUCUGUUGAAGUUUUGGUAAAAGUUCUUUGGAAUAGGACAUCAUAGAGGGUGAGAAUCCCGUAUUUGACCAUUAUUUUCAGCUGUGUGAUACACUUUCAAAGAGUCGGAUUGUUUGGGAAUGCAGUCCAAAAUGGGUGGUAAAUUUCAUCUAAAGCUAAAUAUUGGCGAGAGACCGAUAGCGAACAAGUACCGUGAGGGAAAGAUGAAAAGAACUUUGAAAAGAGAGUUAUACAGUACGUGAAAUUGUCAAAAGGGAAGCGUUUGACACCAGUGUUGUUUUCUCGAAAAUCAAUUAAAAAGAGUUAGAUUUUGUUGUGUAUUGACCUUAACAGCUUGCAUUUCAAUUUUCUUGCUUCUUUUAAUGCACUUUUCGUUUAACAAGUCAACAUCAGUUUCUUUUGUUGUAAAAAGGUCAUUGGAAGGUGGCUUUCUUUUCGGAGAAAGUGUUUAUAGCCUUUGACUCCUGCAAUCGGAGAGACUGAGGUCUGCAGCGUAGAUCCUUCGGGGUUAGAUACAUUUGUGCUAAGUUAUAGCUUUUUAUAGACAACUUGUUGACUAUGAUUAGUCUUGUAGCUUACUCGCUUAUGCUAUUUUACCUACGCUUAGGAUGUUGAAGAUGUAGCACAUCAU
This 774-nucleotide ribosomal RNA is filed under the name uncultured Neocallimastigales. Its description in RNAcentral is "partial large subunit ribosomal RNA". It matches the Rfam family "Eukaryotic large subunit ribosomal RNA", at positions 24 to 620 of the family's 3401-position model. The record is from RNAcentral. Lineage: Eukaryota; Fungi; Neocallimastigomycota; Neocallimastigomycetes; Neocallimastigales.